Molecule: small nucleolar RNA, 123 nt
Filed under: Castor canadensis (American beaver)
Lineage: Eukaryota; Metazoa; Chordata; Mammalia; Rodentia; Castoridae
Description: Small nucleolar RNA SNORA51 (ENSCCNG00000026248.1)
Rfam family: Small nucleolar RNA SNORA51
About the family: ACA51 is a member of the H/ACA class of snoRNA that guide the sites of modification of uridines to pseudouridines.
Source: Rfam by way of RNAcentral
GACUUGAACAAAACUAGACUUUGUUCUUACACUGACCAUAAAGAGAAGGAAAAGUAAACCUACCCCAUAUAUACCUCAACCCAGGCCCUGUGCUUAGUCUAUAUCAUGAAUGGGAAGACAUGG